GUAGUCAUAUGCUUGUCUCAAAGAUUAAGCCAUGCAUGUCUAAGUAUAAACAUCUUUAUACAGUGAAACUGCGUACAGCUCAUUAUAUCAGUUAUUAUUUAUUUGAUGGUACCUUACUACAUGGAUACCCGUAGUAAUUCUAGAGCUAAUACAUGCGUCAAGUCCCGACUUUUUGGAAGGGAUGUAUUUAUUAGAUAAAAAACCAAUGCAGGCAACUGCUCUCUUGGUGAUUCAUAGUAACUUUAACGGAUCGCACGGCUUCACGUCGGCGACAGUUCAUUCAAAUUUCUGCCCUAUCAGCUUUCGACGGUACUGUAGUGGACUACCGUGGCAUCAACGGGUGACGGAGAAUUAGGGUUCGAUUCCGGAGAGGGAGCCUGAGAAACGGCUACCACAUCCAAGGAAGGCAGCAGGCGCGCAAAUUACCCAAUCCUGACACAGGGAGGUAGAGACAAAAAAUAACAAUACCGGGCCUUUUUAGGUCUGGUAAUUGGAAUGAGUACAAUUUAAAUCCCUUAACGAGUAUCCAUUGGAGGGCAAGUCUGGUGCCAGCAGCC
This 557-nucleotide ribosomal RNA is filed under the name uncultured eukaryote. RNAcentral describes it as "SSU rRNA". It matches the Rfam family "Eukaryotic small subunit ribosomal RNA", at positions 20 to 575 of the family's 1831-position model. The record is from RNAcentral.